AAAAAAAAAUUUUCUAAACUUAUCUUUCUAUUUGCCUCCUCUAAUUCAUUACUCCUGUGAGUCUCUUCCUGCCCUUUAUCCCCUAGCCUGCAUUUUCUCUUUUAUCUUAGCCUAACAUCCUAUUUUUAUAUUCUCUACUUUUAUGUCCAAUCCCUCUACAUUCUCCACAUCAAACAUACCUCUAUUCAUAAAGCACCGUUUGGCUCAAAUGACAUCAUCUUUCAUCUUCUAAAAUAAUUUCAUCAAGGAAUUUUCCAUGUAAAUCCAUCUCAAUUAAUAUCCUUUCAUAAUUGAUUGAUAAACAAAGGCAUCUCAAUCACAUUGCCCACUCCACUCAACAGUUCUUUCCACCAAAAUUCCCAAGGAAGGCUUGGAAAUUGGACCUAAAUGGCAAUUUCUGAAUUGAUUCGAAAUCCAUUUUAGCCUAGGUUUCAUUGCAACAACACCAAAGGUCUUCUAUCAAAAGUAUUGGGUCCUUCAGCACUAAAUCCCUUCCUCCUUCUGAAUCAAAAGUAAAUAGAAAAAUAUUUGCAUUAACUAGAUAAACAGAAAUAAGCCCAUACCUCUUCCACUUACCCAUCACAAAAUUCAAAAUCCCUUGAAAUAUAGGAUUCAUUCCACAUAUACUACCUGUAAGAGCAUUCCCCUAACAAUGAACUUCUGAUUGCAGCUCCUCUGUACUGAAUUUCACCACUUUUUCCCCAUCAGUCACCACCGGAUGCACAUAGGCGAGUUCACAUUCUAGAAUCCUUUAUCUGUCCUUAGCCACCGAAUUUGGUCACCUCUUAUGCCUCUAUGUGUUAGUGUUCAUAUCUUCCUCAAUUGACUCAUUCAAUCUCCUCUAGUUACUGGGAACCAUCCCCACGUCAGAUCCUUCCCCAUCUGCGCAUUAUGUUCAUUUGCAUCGUCUUCCUGGUUUAACUUCUCUCAUAAGUAAUAUUAUUAUUAGUCUAAAUCAGAAAUAUGUAUGCACAUCCUAUAUAGAUUUUAAAAUCGAAAGUUGAUGUUCUCGAUUAUCGUCUAAAAUACUAAUGUAUUAUGUUAAGAUUUAUGUCUUAAAUUACUUAUAGUUUAAAAUUUUAAAAAUUUUAUAAUUGAUAUCAUGAAACAUCAACUCAUAUACUAUAUAUCAACGUAUGAUUUAAAAAUAAUUAACAAUUCAUAAAAUAAAAUAACAUAUUAUCUAAAAUUAUAAAACGAUAAAAGAUAAUAUUACUCAUUAUAAAAUCAUACACAGUAGUAUCAACAAACUAUAUGGAUAACAAUGAUUUUCAAAAAAAAAUACUAUUUACGUUUAAUAUAAACUUGAGAUACAGUUAUAAAAAAUUUAAGAUAUACUAACUUCCACCGGAAAUGAAAAUCAAUAUGUAGAAACACCUACCACCCAAGGUUUCCUAAUGACUUUAUUUCCCCAAAACUUUACUACAGUGUCCACCGUCCCUCUGCCAAUAACCUAACCCCAUUAAACACUAUUCCAUAAAUCUCGUUGAAUAAUCAGGACCUCAAACUAUGUCACUUUAGCUACAACAAAUUAUGAUGUGAAUGAACCAGAUCAUGCAGUAGCGAGGCCUCGUACUAGGGGCAUCUAAGAAUCUAUCACAGGUUUUGACUCCUAGCUAAGCACCAACUCUUACCUUUGUAUCCGAAGUUGAGAACAAUGAACUAGUAGUAGGAACACAAGGAGCUAUAAGGAAGAGAGAUGAUGAUGUAACCAGGGAACCACUAAGUCCUGAAGUCACGUGGUGAGAAGUUUUAUAGAGGAAGAUGUUGAUAUAAAUAGGAGCACCACGUUGUGCGGAUAUGGAAUGGGGAGUAGGGAAAAAGGAACUAGCUUUAAGUCUCCUGUAAGUUCUAGAAAGCUUGAGGCAAAAGAAGAGGAAGUAGAUAAAAAUCUGGAAAGGUUGAAAGAAGAGUUAUUGGUUAAAUCCAAGUAGGAAUCUAAACCAGCUUGAGAACCUCCUUACUUUUUACAAACUGUAUCCAAGAAAAAAUUAUCCUUAAAAAGUUCUUGAUGCCAACCAUUGCUGCUUAUGAUAGCACUAGAAACCCCAAGGAUCACGUUAUCAACUAUAAAAUGUUACUGCAGAUUUACUCAGAUACCUUGUUGUGUAAGGAGUUUUCCACCACCUUGACCGAAAUGAUCUUGACUUGCUAUAGCAAUCUAUAAGCCAAAAGUAUCAAAACUUUCAUAAACAUAGCCAAUGCUUUUAUGGAAAAAUUUAUAACCAGUGUGCCACCCUAAAGGAAGACAAGUAUCAAGGUGUAAUCCUUGAAUAUCAUUGUCUAACAGAAAUUCAAGCGCUUAGAGGAACUGAUCCUCCUUUGUUGAUAAGAGAUAUUAUAACAGACUUAUUGAAAUUUGCCACUAGGUGUGUAACCAUUAUUUUUAGCCAUUUCAAUAGGAAGAGAAAUCAAGUAGCUCAUUGUUUAGCUAGAAAAGCUCUCUUUGAUACUGGUUUUCUCUAUUAAAUUUUAUACUCUUCUCUUUAGCCUUUGAGAAAUGAUUAAUAAAAUUUCUCCAGAAAAAAAAAAAGUGAAUAAUUAAAAUUAAAUUUAUAAUUAUCAAUCUCUUCCUUCAUUUUAGAAAUAUAGAAUAAAUUUUAUUUUUUAAUUAUUCAAAAUCUAUGAUAAAUUUUUUUUUAAAAAAAUACAUUUGUAAAUUGAUUAGUGAUAUAUUAAAAGAAAUCAUUACUAUUUGUCAAAGGCUAAAUAUGUAAUUUGACAGUCGAACUUUAUUCAAAAAGUCAACUGACACUUUAAGCUUUUUUUUUUUUUUCUUUUUGUUAACUUUUUGACAGUGGCUUCUAUGAUUAUUUUAUUUAAAAUAAAAGAACAAUUACUUUAUCAUGUAAAUUAAUAUUUUAUAUUUUACUUUUAAUUUUUUAUAAAAUGAAUUAAUUUUUCAUAAUCAACAAUAUUAUAGAAAUUAUUUGAAGGUAACAGAAAAUAAAAUAAUUCUAAUAAAAAUAAUAUAAGCAUAAUAUUUUCUCACAAAAUAUUUAAAAAUUGAAAUCUAUAAUAUUUAUAUUAGAGAUUUUAUAAAUUUAUAUGCAAUGCUAUACAUUUCUGUAAAAUAAUUAUUUUAUGAAAUAUUAAAUUAAUAAAAAAAUAAUAUAUUUUCAAAAAUAUAAAGAUAUGAUAUUACCUUUUUAUAAAUAAUUAAAUAAAAUAUUAUUUUAGUUAUUAAUAAUGUUAUUAAUAUAAUAUAAUUUUUAUUAAAUUAAUUUAUAUAAAAACAUAUUUAUUUAUUUAAAACAUCAAUUUUUUAUUUUAAUAUAUAUUUCUACUUAUAAAUAAAGUAUUUUAUGUAAAUUUAUAAUAGAAAAUACAAUUUGUAUAAAAUAUAAUUUAUUUUUGUAAUAGAUUAAAUUUACUUUAUUUUAAACUAAAUAACUAUAGAAUUCUCUUUUUGAUAAAAAAAAUUCAAAUUAUUUUAUAAUCAAUAUUCAAGAACUUUCUUAUACAUAUAAAAAUUAUAGAUGGAUUGUGGAAUAUUCAAGAACUUACUUAUACAUAUAAAAAUUAUUUUUUUAAUCUAAAUUUAGAGUUAUUUAUUUUGAAUUUUGAUCGUCAUGAUUCAUGAUAGUGAAGGAUCGGCGCAACUGAGAUAUAAUAGGAAAAACUCUACAGUCGAGGAUUUGUUAUCCAUAUUUGAGUUCAUGUGCUGAGAAAUAACCCACUUACCAAAUAUAUUUACUGACAGAUUAUGCUUUGAAAAUUCCUUGAUUAAAGCUCAUGAUCUAGAAAAGGAAAAAGAAUCCCCCAGGCUGGGUUGCUUUCCUAUGACUUGUUAGCCAAUUGAACAUUAAAUCACUGCUUCAUGGCUCCUCCAAUGUGCCAUUUGAAUACUCUUCACCUGCAAUUCCAGGUGUUCCAUUUGAUAACCGAUUUGUGCUGGAGGAAUUUGAAUGAGGAGAGUAUGUGGAAACAGGGCUGCCUCGUGAAUACCGGUUCUGGGCAGCUGUGCUACUUCUGGUUGCCUUGAGUCGAGCCUUCCUACCCUGCAGUGGGAGUCCAAAAGCUAAUUAAUGAUGGAAAAGAGAUGCGUCAAAAAAAAAAAAAGGGAAAAAGAACUGUUGCAUAAAACAGAAGUAGAGUGUUUUUACACAAAAUGGCAUUUGAAGAAUUCGGCUGACUUAUAAUAUCAAUGAGAAUAAUUACACAAAUUAUAAGAGCGCACAUCAUGGCCCUUGACAGAAAAACAAAUAAGCUAUCAUGACAAAAUGGUAAGACACCCUUGCAUCUUAACAAUAAAGAGGAUAACCUUUCCCAUGCACUUUUCCAAAUGAGGAGCAAACCUUCCAGCCAUGAUUGAUCGCCCACAAUUCAUGCACUCAAAUAUUUCAUUUGCAACAGGUGGAUGGGUUUGUCCAAAAAUGUCGACCACAUACUUGCUAUUUGUUUCACCACUAUUACUAGGAUCAGCUACCCUUACACGGGCUUGUGUUGAUAAUCUUAAUUCUUCUUCCUCUUCCUCCAAGUUGCGAUCGAGUCCCAGUUUUGCUAUCCGGUGACACUCAGAGGCAACAUCAACAAUAAUUGAAUCGAGGAGGUCCCCAAAAAAAUGAGAUGAAAGCUGGACAAAGAACAACAUUGCAUCUAAAGGUAAUUUUAAAUAUACAGUGGAAUACAUAUCCAUACAAAUGAACAUGCAUUUCAAAAGAGGUAUUUCAGAUAGGCUAGAAUUAUUAUUAUUAUGUCAUUAAAAUAGUUAGAAGAAAUCUCAUUUCCACGUGAAGAUUUCAUUCCAGGUCAACGAAAAAACAGCAACCCAAAGCCAACAAAUGUCAUCCGCUUUAAGUAGGCUACAAAAUUGCUGUGUUCUUGUUCUUCCUAUCUGUUUCUCUAAAUUGUUCCUUAGGAAAAAAAUUUAAGAAAAUAAUAUUAAUAAACACAGGAAACUUCAAAAAGUAUGCAACAAAUGAUGCUUCUAACAAGCACAUAAUAUCCUACCUCUUUAGGAAGUAAAAAGAUUUAAAAAAUUCCUUGAACAAAAUUAAACUUGACAUGUAUGCUUCUUCAUUUUUUUCUUUUCUUUGCAUUUCUUAACAAAAUAUACAUAAAAUAGGAAGGAACCCAAUUGAUAGAAGACACCCACUAACCACAAUAUGUGUAUAUUUCACCAGAACUUUUAAAAAUUGAGAUUAGAUAAGAUCAGACAGGUAGCCUUAUUGAAGACUAGAAGAAAAUAAGAAUACCUGGGUAUGAGGAGACAGGUUAUCUUCGUUUGGGCCUGACAUGCCACUUGAGUUUUAAAGACGAAUACUCCCAAGAAACAAAUCAAAUCAUUCAAAUUGACAACUAUCAGACUCGGAUCGAAAUUACUGCUACUUGCAGAUCAAAACCGCUAAUUUUAUCAAGAGAUGAUUUGACAAAGACACUGAGCAGGGGAUUGCCCCUUCUCCAGUUCUGCUGUGAUUCCCACGGGAAAAGGAAAAGUGCGAGGAUCCUGUGUGACACAAUAUUAUAGUAUAAAAACAAAGAACCAAUAAUGACUUCUCCAAUAAGCAAUAGAUUAAGUUCUUGCCUUGCACAUCAAUCAAAUCAUAUGUAAGUUAUGAGAGAAAAGGGUUCUGCCCUAAUUCUAAAACUCACAUCAAGCUGAGUAAUGGAGUAAACAAAGCUCAUUUGUCAAAGACUAAAAUCAAUGAAAGAUAACCAGAUUUUGAGUCAAAGAGGAGAGCUAUUCUUAUUUAUGCAUGCUUAUUAAAAUGAGCGAAUAGUGAUCAAGUCAUAGACCUAGAAAAUUAUCCAAAUCAGUUAAGAAAAGUAAUACAAUUUAUUGAUUUUCCAGAAAAAUCUGUAUACUCCCAUGAGAAAUCUCAGUUAUUCUAGGCUUACACAUCACUUCACAACCUUGGUAGCAUCUAAAAACAACAUAUUAGAAAUCCAAUUAAACAAUAUUUGAAUUAAUGUAGAGAGUGAUCCAGCACGCACUAAGAUUAAUAAACAUAACCAGAUUUUGCAUUCAUUAUACAUAAUUUGUAAUUGGUCCUCACGUAAAUAAGGAAACUAGAAAGCAUUUACCUAAGGAUGAUUGAUUUGGAAUCUGUGGAGCCAGAAUAGUCCUUCUGAUUCCCACCCACUGAUCCUAAAAAAUAAUCAAAUCACAACAUAGAAAUAGCAGAAUCAAACAAUGGGACGCAGCUGAAAUUUCUUAAUUAGACUGAAAAAAGCACUCGAUCGAUACGAGUGUGCGGGCUAUGGAAAACUUGUUAUACGCAGAACUCAGCUUUAAUGCGCAUCACCGAAGCUGUUAUCUGGUAAAGAGGAUAUAUCCUGAUAAGAAUGAGGGCUUAGGGAUUUAGGAUGCUCAAUAAAGUCGGGAAAAGCAAACCAAUGGGAUUGGUGAAGUGACUGAUUGCCGGUGACGACAGAAACAAGGAAAAAUGAUAGAAGAAAUUAUGGAUCAGUGGCAAUCGGUUGGCUCUGCGGGUUUGAAUCGGGUUGCUUUCAGAUGCGGCUUGAUUAUCCAAGUCUGGCUUUGGAUGUCGCCUAGCCUUCUUUGUGCUUGCGGGCUCGACCACAAAGACCCAAAUAGCAACGGUUCCUCUAUUUUCAAAUAUUCGAUUCUGUUGGGUUCUAUUGAAAUAAAUAAAUGAAUUUCGUAUGGUUUUGCAUCAUAAUUUAAUUUUAAUAUUUACAUUUAAAUUAAUUAAAGAUUUAAGUAUGUUUGUUUAAAACAAAGCUACGGUUUGUAUUAAUAAAAUUUUAUCAAAUAAAAAAGAAUAUCAUUCCAAAUAGAGAGACAAUCAUACCUAAUAAAUUCUCUAGCCAAAGUAUGAGCUGCUAGAGUGGCAUGACGACGAACCCAUCUAACAGAAAUAUCAGUUUUGGAGCCUAACAAAUAUUUAUAAUCAUUCAAAAUCAAACUAAGUUCAGAAAUGUGUAAAUGUGGAGACUGAAGAGCUUGAACUACUUGCAAACGGUCCAUAAGAAUGCAGCCAUUAAAAGACAAAAAUUCUGUCGCAAAGAGCAAAUAAUGACAGAGAGUUAAAGUUUUAACAAUUGUCGGCAUACCAUUAUCUUCCGAAAAACAGAAACACCACAUUGAAAUAUACCCUUAGAGUUUUUUACAACAAAACCGUAGCCAAUAAAAUCUUAAACUUGAAACAAAACCCCAUCAACUUGACAAAACCAACUGAAAUUAUCCAAACUUGAAGAUGAUGCACGAAUUUGGAGAGGAAUAGCUUCAGGAUCACGAGCAGGGUUGGAGGAAUAAAACAAGUUCCUGCCCUGGUAUAAAAUAGCAGUUGUAUUUCCUUGCAAAGUACCAGCACAUUGAGCAGCUUUCUAAUCCAAGAUAUGAUGCAUGACGCCUUCCACAAGGUGAGCUGCUGAAUUUUGCACCUAGUUCCAUAAUAAUGAGUUUCUUGUUGACUAUAAUCUCCAUGCAUAGACCAUAACAAAGAUUUUUUGAACCUUGUCUUAUGACUUCAAAAUUUGCAGUGAAAAAUUAAAAAAAUUAUCAUUAGACUGCAAAUCUCUCACUCCUCCUAACCUACAAACUUCUUUGGACACAAGACAAUGCAACAAGAUAUUAUUGACACUUUCAUCUUCAUGACACCAAGGACAUCUAGUAUCCACAUCCACACCCAUUUGUCUUAAGUUAUCCUUUGUAGGCAAUAUAUUUCUACAUGCUCUCCAACAGAAAUCUUUCACUUUUGGAGGGACCGAAAUAUUCCAUAAACUAAUUCAUAACUCAUCCCCCACAUUAAAAGAUGAUCUUUCUAGCAAGUCAUAGAUUUUCUAAUUAAGAACCCAACCGCUACGUACCAAUAGCUAAUGGACAAAACCCAGAAGUACAUCAGGCUGAAUGACGAAGUCCAAGCAUUGAGAGAGGACAAAAGGACAAAUAAAAAAUAAAACCAAAAAUCAGAGAGGCGAGGAUAUGAAGGAGACCGUAGAAGUUAUCCAGUCUCCCGAAGAAGGGAUGACCAAAGUAAGUAUAAGAAUUAUACUCCAUUGAAUGACUCACAAACACGUAUUCUAAUGUGGAUUUGAAAAAACGACAAGGAGGUCAGGUGGUCUCCCAAGCUCAACCCUGAGAGAGCUGAAAGGCGAGAUAGGACUAAGUACUGUUGUUUUCACGAAGACCAUGGACAUACAAUGGAGGAGUGCAGGCAACUGAAAGACAAGAUUGAGAGGUUAAUAAGGGACGACACACUUUGAAAGUUUGCUAGAAAAAAUAGAGAAGGGAGGAGGCUCGAACCCGAGGUAACAACUCCUGAGACUACCCCUAACCGUGAACCUAUAGGGGUUAUACAUGUAAUUGCAGGAGGAUCUAGCAAAAGUAAAGAAAUAAAUGAGUUGCAGAAGAUAUUUUGAAUGUUCAAUAGUAGAGUCAAGUAACGUGUCUUUAAUGUAGGAGACUAAGUCCUUAAAAGAGCAUAUAUAAUAGGAGGUAAUGUCGGGUCUGUUAAGUUGGGUAAAAAUUAGAAAGGACCAUUUAGGGUCCCGAAAGUUAUUCAUCCAGGGUUUUAUAAGCUGGCCAAGUUAGAUGGUCGAGUCAUUCCCCACUCUUGAAAUAUUUGUAAUAUGUGAAAAUUUUUUAUCAAUAAUAGAUAACAAUGUAUUUUGCAUGUGUUGUAUUAUUUAGUGACAAGGAACGAUGGGGUUAUCUUCUUCACAAAGAUUAAAGAGCUUUCAUUAAAGGUCACGAGGUAGGUAUCCGUCGGGGCACCUAAUCUAAGUUUUAGUCUCACUGAAUAAGGCAUCUUAUGCCAGGCCAUAAAGUGGAUAUCCAUUAGGCCACUUAAUCCGGGUGUUAGUCCCGCUAAACAAGAAAUCUUAUGCCAGGCCAAAAGGCGGGUAUCCGUUAAGCCAUCUAAUCCGAGUGUUAGUCCCGCUAAACAAGGCAUCUUAUGCUAGGCCACAAGGCGAGUAUUCGUUAGGUCACCUAAUCUGGGUGUUAGUCGUACUAAAUAAGGCAUCUUAUGCCAGGCCACAAAGGGGUAUUCACCAGGCCACUUAAUCCUAGUGUUAGUUCCGCUACACAAGGCAUAUUAUGCCAGGUCACAAGGUGGGUAUCCAUCAGGCCAUUUAAAUUCUCGAGGACUGACUUUGAAACGUUUGCCUAUUCCAGGUCCGCCUGGAGCUUGUUCAUAGAUUCCAGUGUCUCUUUCAUAAUCCAAGCCUUCAGCCUCUAGCACUCUUCUCGUAGGAGACUUUUAUCCGUCUCCUAUGCCCCAAACUCUCACUUCAGAGCCUUGAUCCGCUCUCUGGCCAUGUAUGUGCACAGAGCGCUCUUCAUCGCAGAGUGGAUGAUGUUGUCAUAGAAAUCGUCUGUCUUGAUAGCAUUCAAGUGAUUAUGAUCUCUAGGCCGCAGAGCAUUCUUAGCUAUUAGGACAGACAACCAGGGCUUCUCGAGAAGAGAGAUUGUCCGAGUCAGCGCCAACGCCAGGUGUUGAUGCCCCGAGGCCACAAGACUUCUGCUUCAGCCCUUCCUUGUGAAGUUUCGGCUUAGCAAGGAACUACUUCAGGGUCGCCCCUCGUAGAAGGCUUGGGUUGAGUGGGGACUAGUUCCUCAGCUGCAGGAGGAGGAAGGGGAGGAGGUAGAGUGAUCAUCUCCUCAGCAUGACGAGCACGCUUAGGUGGAGGUGCGGUCGCUCCGGCAAUAGCCUUGUCUUUCCGGACAGCUUCAACAAAUUUGGCUUUUGAUUUAGCCAUGUCUACAUAAAACAAAAAGUGAGUAAGUAAGGUAGUUUGAAAUACAAAAAGAGUUAGAAAGAGAAAUACCCUACUCACUAAUGUAACGACCCCAAAAUGGACCGUCACCGGCGCUAGGAUUCAGGUCGGCUUAAGGCCGCCAGAACCCGUAGCAAGCCUUCUAUACUCUCUGUGUACCUGUAAAUCUCAUACAUGAUCAUACAUUUUCUGUGAAAAUAAAAAAACUCUGCUCUGAACCAAGGCUUAACCUGUGCAUGCACUAUCUCUGUACUCUGUACUCUGUACUCUGUACUCUGUACCCCUGACUAGAGCUUGCUCUAGAUGGGUUAACUCUGUCACAUUCCAAAACCUACAGAUAGAAAUAGAGCAACCAUUAGCUUUAAAUUGUAUCAUUCCAAGUUAGAGUAACUAGCUUCAGGGAAGGUGCUAGCUUAACCUCGAGCUAAUUAGGGGAGGUGUUAGCUUAUCCAUAGCCAUUUGACACACAAUAAGUUAUUUUAUAGACGGGUAAGGGGUGUUACAAACUCAUACCUGUUAAGCCUGUUUCUGGGACUGGCAGGUUACUAUAGGAGGUUCGUUCAGGAUUUCUCGAAGAUAGCUGCUCCUAUGACCAAACUGACUCAGAAGAACCAGAAGUUUAUCUGGUCAGACCAGUGUGAAGAGAGCUUUGAGGAGCUCAAGAGGAGAUUGACAUCAGCACCAGUGCUAGCUCUGCCUGUUAGUGACGAGGAUUUCACAGUGUUCUGUGAUGCGUCUCGAGUGGGAUUGGGUUGUGUUUUGAUGCAGCAGGAUAGGGUGAUUGCUUAUGCUUCUAGACAGUUGAAGAAGCACGAGUUGAAUUACCCCACCCAUGACCUAGAGAUGGCAGCAGUUAUCUUUGCACUCAAGAUGUGGAGGCAUUACCUCUAUGGGGUUAAAUGCGAGAUCUUCACUGAUCACAAGAGUUUACAGUACAUCUUGAGCCAGAGAGAGUUGAAUAUGAGGCAGAGAAGAUGGGUAGAAUUGCUCAGUGAUUAUGAUUGUACGAUCCAGUAUAAUUCGGGUACGGCGAAUGUGGUGGCAGACGCCUUAAGCCGGAAGUCACUAGGCAGUUUAUCCCAUAUAGCAGUAGAGCGGAGACCAGUAGUGAUGGAGCUUUACAAGCUCAUUGAGGAAGGGUUACAGUUAGAAUUGUCUGGUACAGGUGCGUUGAUAGCACAGAUGAGAGUGACACCUGUGUUUUUGGAGCAGAUAGCUCAGAAACAGCAUGAGGACCCUGAGUUGAUGAAAAUUGUCAGGACUGUUCAGUCAGGCAACAGUGUAGAGUUCAGAUUUGACAGCAAAGGGAUCCUUCGCCAUGGGAGUCAACUUUGUGUACCAGAUAGUAGCAGUUUGAAGGAAGACAUUAUGAGGGAAGCUCAUAAUGCGAGGUAUAGUGUUCACCCAGGAGCCACCAAGAUGUAUCAGGAUCUGAAGAGGGUAUAUUGGUGGCCAGCCAUGAAGAAAGAAGUGGCGCAGUUCGUGACAGCCUGUGAGGUUUGUCAGAAGGUGAAACUGGAACAUCAGAAGCCGGCUGGAAUGCUUAACCCACUGCCGAUUCCAGAAUGGAAAUGGGAGAACAUAGCUAUGGAUUUUGUAGUGGGCUUACCGGCAGUGUCCAACAGGAUAGACUCUAUAUGGGUGAUUGUGGACAGACUCACAAAAUCUGCUCAUUUCAUUCCCGUUAGAAGUAACUAUUAUGUGGAUAAGUUGGCACAGGUAUAUCUGGAUGAGAUAGUGAGAUUGCAUGGAGUUCCAGUGUCUAUAGUCUCAGACAGAGGACCUCAGUUCACCUCCAGAUUUUGGCGAAGUCUGUAGAGUGCACUGGGCACAAGAUUGGAUUUUAGCACUGCUUUCCAUCCGCAGACUGAUGGAUAGUCAGAGAGGACCAUCCAGACCAUAGAGGAUAUGCUCAGAAUGUGUGUGUUAGACUUUGGCGGUUCUUGGAGGCAGCAUCUACCUCUGGUGGAGUUUGCCUACAAUAACAGCCAUCAUGCUAGCAUAGGGAUGGCUCCUUAUGAAGCAUUAUAUGGGAGGAAGUGCAUAUCACCUGUUUGCUGGGAAGAGGUAGGAGAGAAGGCUCUUGCAGGGCCAGAGUUGGUAGAGAUUACCAGUAGAACAGUGCCCAUGAUCAGAGAGAGGAUCAGAACAGCUCAGAGUAGACACAAAAGCUAUGCGGACGUUCGCAGGAAACUGUUAGAAUUUCAGGAGGGUAAUUGGGUAUUGCUAAAAGUGUCUCCAAUGAAAGGAGUGGUUCGUUUUGGGAAGAAGGGUAAGUUAGCUCCACGGUACAUUGGACCCUUUGAGAUUUUACAGAGGAUCAGAAAUGUGUCAUAUAAGCUGGCUUUACCUACUUCUAUGGAGAGAAUUCACCCGAUAUUUCAUGUUUCUAUGCUACGGCAGUUUGUAUCAGAUCCGAAGCAGGUUCUAAGUGCACCUGAUGUGGAGGUCCUUGGAGAUCUCACAUAUAUAGAGCAGCCAGUGCGGAUUCUUGACACACACCCACACCAACAUAUAACUAUGCAAUGCAACAUAUUCGUGGAUUCUAAUGCAAUCAACCUACUGCAUAACCAUGAUGCAUGAAAUAUGCUAAAAACAUUCCAUUUCUCAAUUAAAAGAAUUAAGUUUAGUUCCACUCACCUCUGGCUCUUUGGACUGACUCUGCAGGCUCUAUACACUCUAGAGCAGUACUCACUGCUGCUCUCUCUGGUUCCUCUGGUCUGUGCCUACACAGAUGGACUCAAAUGAGGGACCAAACUAGCUUAUGAAUAACUCUAUUAACCUCCCCAAGAAUCCCCUUAAACUCACUCAAAUAUCCCUGAAAAGCAUGCAAAGGAAGGCUGGACAGGACACUUUCGGCGGCAGGUUCGGCGGCCGAAAGUCCUCUCCAGAGCCGAAACUCAUGCACCUUCGGCGGCCGAAUCUCUACUUUCGGCAGCCGAACCCUUGCGGGGGCAAGUUUCGGGGGCUGAAAGGCAUUCCAGAGACGAAAGUCUCUAACCUUCGGCGGCACCUUCGGCGGCCGAACCUCCCCUCCAGAGCCGAAAGUCUAAAGGCUCGGGGGCAAGCUUAGGCAAUCGAAGCCACCUCCUCAGCACAUUCGGCCGCCGAACCUUUCUUCGGCGGCCGAACCUGGAUUCAUCAGCAAGGCAGAACCUUGCUCUGCCUCAUGCCAAAAUGCACCAAUCUUCCUCCAACUCAAACACCUCAAUUCCUCAACAUGCAUACACCCAAGUAUAUGCUCAAAGGGGUCAGAAACUACCUUAAAACCCCAACAACACAAAAUAUAUAACACAUAAACAUGCUUUUAUCAACAAAACACCCAAAACCUCACUUUUUACCCUAUUCAUGCAACUCUACUCAAAACCUUCUAAAACCUUCAGAAAACAUGAAAACAAGCUCAGGAUCUUCACUUACCUCUUGAAAACAAGAAGAUGAACGAUCCCAACGUGGAGUUUUGGAGCAACUCUCCUUCAAACUCUCCAAACUUCACAACUUUGUGUUUUUUUGCUCAAAACCUUCAAAAAACCAUAAAAAUCAAUCAAAUCUUUGCAUGAUGUAAUGACAACAUGAAGAAAACUAAAGAAGGACAGGGUCUCACCUCAGAAAGUGAAAGAAACGGCAAGCCUUAUCCUUUCAACCGACUGAGGGCCUUUUAUAGGUGGUUGGCCAAACCACCUUCGGCGGCCUAUCGUGAAACCGAAAGCCAUGCAUGUUCGGCGGCCGAAUGUCACCUUCGGCGGUCGAACCUGGCUUUUCUGCCUUGGUUCUUUUCUUUCAAAAACUCUUUUCAUUUUAACUUCAAAACCUUAAAACAGACUACAUUACUUUAGAAAACCAAAAAUCUUACCCUCUAAAGAUGCCGACAUCCUAGAUUCUACCGGACGACAAGAAUUCCAAUAUCGGACUCUCGCCGGGUAUUACAGCUAACUAGAGAGGUGCUUUCCCCGAGAUAGAGAAGGCUGGGUGGGUGAGGAUCCUGAGCCUAGCAUGCCUAAAGAUGGCUCUACCAAGAUAAAAUAGCAUUCUUCACUGCCUGGAUGAUGUUUAUUUUCUGAGACGUUGCCAUCGUUUGGAGGAAGUCCAAGGCCUAUUCCUCACUCCUUCGGGGUUGGACCCAUCCUUUCUCAGUUUCACAUAUAUGUUCUAGGUAGUAUAGAUGGGACCAAAACCCCCAGACACCCGAUGGCGAAAAAUAAAAAAUUUAUUCUUCCAGUGUUUCAAAUAUGAGGGGAUCCGGUCAAAGAGUUAUAAUGUUUUCUUCCGCUAAAGAAUUAGAACUCCUCAUAGUUUUGUGUACCUAGCUGGCACAUUUGGGAGAAAAGCGCCACAUUUGGCUCAAUGUUGUUAUUAAAACAAAUAAACCAGAAGGCCACCAAAAUCCUCCGGCUGUUGGGAUGCAGUUGGGUGAUUGAAAACUUGUGAAAUCGGAGGAUCUCAGUAAAAAAUGAGUCUAUGGAGAACCGAAGACCCGCCUUCAGUUGCUCUUCAUACACCAUGAUAGUAUCUGUCGUAGUGAUCUGUUCAUCUACAUGAACGCUCGAAAAUGGAGCGAAGACGCAAAAGAUUUCUCGAGAGAUGUGGUAUUUAUCGUGAAGAUAUUCUAUGUCUUUUUUAGUUAAUAUAGAAGGGAUGUCGCUAAUUAGACUGUCUUCACUUUCAUGGACCACCCUCAGCAAAAUAAUGUGAGUUGGAGUAUGAAUGGAGCCGUCGGAGGAGUUUCAAGCAAAACUUCCACCAGGGGAAGAAGGAGGCAAAGAAGAAAUACUCUUAUUCAUUUUUAUAAAAGGGAAAGCAAGAAAGAAUUAUCUUGAAACAAGGAGAAGUGAAUAAGAGAAGUGGUCGAGACUUUUCUAAAGCACAUAACUCAGUUGUAAGCAAAAAUGGUAUCUAGAGGAGAAUUAGGAUUCUUAUAUGACAUUUUCGAUGACAGAUUUUGAAUGCCGCUCGAAGAUUAAAACCGUCAUCAUUUAUGGACAGGAGUAGACAAAGCGACGUGAGCAGAGAAACACCAAUCUAGAUGAGUCAUAUGCCCCAGAUCGUGAAGACAAUUAUCACAUUCGAAUAUGAAGAAUUCAAGACCAGUAGGGGGUCUCUAAUCUAACACAACAAUUGCCCAAGGUAAGUCAUAAGCUGUCACUAUAUAAUAGGGUCAUGUGGCAAAAGUCUGAUAAGCUGAUAUACAGUCCCACCCGUAGAAAGGUAGACACAGAUACCGUAUCAUUUGGUUCUUUAUCAAAACUCGCCCUCCCCUGUAAAAGUCGAGUCUACACAUAAAAUUAUCGUUAGCAGAUCCUUGUUACAACUGUAAUUACGAUAUCUCUGAUCAAUUAGUCGAUACCAGCUAAAUUUUCAGAAAAUACUAUAAAUAUCUCCAUCUUUUUACAGUAUAAAAAAUUAAUGAUCUCAGAGACAAACGUACGCAAUUCUUAAGCAAUUAUUCUUAAAUUCUAUACAAUUCGUUACAUACGCUUUUUUUUAUUUUUUUAUUUUUCAGUUUAUUAAUUUGAACAUCAAAAUAGGUACCACAGACGCCAACCACCUCAUGUUUUUUCUUUUAUAAAUUGACCAAUUACAAUAUAACAUCAUUUUGGUUACAUCACUAUUGUUAUUUAAUUUUUUUAAUUUAAUUAUUUAAUUAUAUUAAUAUUUUAUUUAAAUUCAAAUUAUGAAAAAAUCACUCAAUAUUUAAAUUAUAGUCAAUUAAAUUUUAUCAUAAAAGAAUUUUCUUAAUAUUUAAAUUAUUUGAAUUAAAAUUUAAUUUUUUUAAAAAAUAAUUACAAUUUGUUUUUAAAAAUUUUUAAUUUAAUUAUUUAAUUAUAUUAAGAAGAAUAAUAAUAAGAUUACUUAAAAUACUCGCAAUUGCAUUCAUUUUAAAUUAUCUUUAUUUUGAUUGAUUAAAGGAUAUUGAAUAAUUUAUUAUUAUUUAAAAUUUUUAAUUUAAUUAAUUUUUUUAUUUAAAUUUAAUUAUAAAAUAAAAUAACAUUUAUCUAUUAUAAUUUUUGCUAUCUAUAUUAAAUCAAUUCAUAUAAAUUUUAUCAUUAUCUUUAUAUAUUAAUCUUUAUCUUUAUAAGGCUUUUAUAUAUAACUAUUCAAAAAAAAAUAUUAUAUUUAAUUAUUACUAUUCUUUCUAUUUUUCUGGAAUUUAACAGAAAUUGAAUAUAUAUUUUAGUACUUUUUAGACUUAAAAUGAACUGAGGAAUAUGAGAAUCUUACAUUUUUAGUGAUAUUUAAAAAUAAUCUUAAUUAGUUUUCUUAAUUUUCUUCAAAUUAUUAAAAUAAAUAAUUUUAUAAUAAAUAAUAUAAAAAAGAAAAAUAUCCAAAAUUUACUUAAAUUUUAUUGAUGUAGUUACUUUUAUACAUAAUUCUAAUUAAAAGUCUACCUGGAUUACAUUUAAUAAAAAAUAAUAAUUUUUAUUAGAUAAAUAAUCAAAAUUUUAUUUUUAAAAUUAAUAAAUUUUAUCUUUUUAAUAUAUAUCAGGAACUGACCUAAUUUUUGAGAGAUGGAUGAAAAAGAAAAGAAAAGAAAAAGAAAAAAAUCGCAGGUAUUUCUCCAGUCUAGGCUACCCCAGCGGAAAGUCGAUUACAGAUAUCGACUCUUCUUCUCUUACUCUCAAACUGAGAUAUUUGUAUAGUGGAAGCCAUGGACGUGCUUUUGCUCUCUUCACCACCAACCCCACACUUAUCUUCCUCUCUCAGACCCUCUCUUCGUUCCUCUAAACCCUCUCCUCUUCCUUUCACUUUCAAUCCAGUCUCUUCUCCCCUCAAAUGUUUCCCAUCUCUCAAAACCUCCCUUCAAUCUUCUCAAACCCUAACUCCUCAAUUCUCGGCUCCCCAGACACCCGCGACCGCCAUGAGGGGAGCGGAGACCGAUGCCAUGGGGCUUUUGCUUAGGGAGAGGAUUGUGUUCUUGGGGAACAAUAUCGAUGAUUUUGUGGCUGAUGCUAUUAUCAGUCAAUUGUUGCUUUUGGAUGCUCAAGACCCAACUAAAGAUAUUCGCCUCUUUAUCAAUUGUCCUGGAGGCUCUCUCAGGUAAAUGCUUCUGCUCUUUUUCCCCCCUCUAAUUUUAAUUAAAGAUGUUUACUUUCGAAGCCUGAGCCAAAACAAAUUAGUGGGAUUUUGUUCUAUUCCAUCUUCCAAAGCUAAAUUGUGACUGCAUUGUGUGUACAAGAGCUUCCGGAAGUUCUUCAGAGAUAAUGGUGUAUGCCCUGUAUAUGCUAGACUGGUAAUUGGGAUUUGAGAUCAGAAGUUUUUCUUUUUUUUCAUUAAUUGGUAACUUUAUUUGAAGAAUUUUUUUGAAGUAAACAUCUGAAAUCUUGUUCUGAGGAGCUGCCAUUUCUGUUUAAAGUAGUGUGGAGUUCAUGGGGUUGCCAGAAGUAUUCUUUUUUCCUCAUGUUGAUAUUUACAUUUUGAAAGAUGUUUAAACAUUUGAUGGAAGGAAUAAAUGUCUUUUACAUGGUUUUUUAUUUUUUUUCAUUGAAGAAGGUGCUGAUUUAGUGGAUCAUCUUCUUAGCCCCUUCUUGCUAGGAGGCUGUGGUGUUGAAGACUAUCCCUUUUCUAUAUAAGGAACUAUUUUUGGAGUUUGUAAAAUGUCUAACCUGUUGUCAAGUUGAGAUUUGAUCAUGCUAUAGUGAAGUUUGUGAAUUGAGAAUUUGCUGGGUCUUGGAGUGAGAAAAACGUUUUAUUGGUGAGAUCAAGUAUGAUUUUUGAGGAGCUUGUUUUCUUAGUCUUACACCACCUCUAAAGCCCUUUUUACAAAGACUUAAAGGAAUCUAGGUCUCAGCUUCAUUUUCUGUUGUUUUCUUAUUUGUUUUACUUUUUAAACGGGCAGUUCUCCAAGUGACUUCACCAAGCCAUGCGAUGGUUAUUAAAAGUUCAAGGUGCACCAACAAAAAAAGUCAUGGCCUAACUCUCCCUAAAAGCUAGUUUAAAAGCUAGUUUAAGGGGCUCUUAUACACUUUACCCUAUCCCAAACCGAUGUUGGAUUUAACACGUCCCCACGCCCAUAACUAUACUAGAGUAUGAAACAUUUACAAGGAAACAUUUAUGGGAGGCCCAGCGUCAAUUUGGAUCAGGUUUAACUCACCCAAAAGCUAACUCAAAAGAGGAUUGCCUAACCUCUUAUAAAGUGCACAUUACCCCUAUUUCAAAUCGACCGACUUUGAAAUUCAACAAAUACAAAGUGACUCCAUUCCUUACCUACAUAGAUGAGAAUACCUCGAGCCAAAGAAUCAAGCAAAGAUAACUUGAGGAGUGCUCUAAUUAUUGAGUUCUAUUAUCCUUUUGGGGCUAGAUAGUAUUUUGUUGUUUGCAAAAUAAUAACUCAACAACAUUGACCAAUGAUUGCGCCAGUUUAUGAGUAUCAGUGUAGCUGCCAUGUUAGAGGGUUUUUGGCUUAGCUUAUAAACAUUGACUUGUUAUAAGCCUUAUGUGUUUGGUUAAAAUGCUUAUAAGUGGCAAAUAAACAGUAGACAUGUUUGGUAAUAAAUAGUUUAUCAGCAUAUUUAUUAUUAAAAUUACUAAAAAGGAUAUUAAAAAAUAUACGUGGUGGAGUUUUAAAAUUAAAUAAGAGCAAUAUAAUAAUUUGCUUGGUUAAAUCAGGUUAUAAGUUUUAUGCUUAUAAACACUAAAAUGAAAAGUUGAUAACCCCCAUCUUAUCUUUUUUAAGCCUAUAAGCUGAACUUAUAGGCCCAUAAAAUGUUAUAAAACAAACACGUUAUCUAAUUAGAGCUUAUAAACUAGUUUGAUCAGCUUUUAAGCUUAGACAAAUUCCUCUUUAGUCUUACUAAGUGACAUGUUUAGAGAUAACAUUUUGGUUACUUAUUAGACUGAAGAUGGAGGGUUCCAUGGUUAGAUAAGGAUCUGCUAAUAAAUACUAGGAUAAUUUUAUUUGCAAAAACAAAAUGGAGAAUUUUUUUUUUAAAUUUUUUGAAUGUAGUUCUCAUUUGUUUUUAUUGGCGUUUUUCUAGGACUUCAUAUUUUGAGGAAUGAAACUCCCAAAUAAAUUGUUAACUAGGAAGUUGCACUCUUCCAUAUGAUGUAUACACUUUUUCCUAGUAAGUUUAGAAAUUUCUUUAAGGGUUUGUUUGAAUAGCUUAAAUGGAAUUGCCAUUCCUAUUCUUUUGAAUUGGGUUGAAAUUAUAAUUACGGCUUUUCAACAAUACUUUCAAUUUUAUUUGAAAGAAUAAACAAAUAAGUAAAUUCAAAGAACAAUAUAUAAUUAAAGAUAUGCAAUUAUAUUUAUAUACACUCAUCAUACCCCCAUUAUGUGGUAUGUGCUUACACAUCAAAGAAAAAUGAGUCCUACUUCUUCUAUGGCCUUCUAUUACAUAAACUAGUAUCAUGAGAUAUGAGUCCAAAAGAGGUACCAGUUAAACAUAACAUAUUAUACUCAUCCUACUAUAUGGUUAAGAAAUUUCACAAUUAUUAACUUGCACCUCAUUUUCUUCCAUCAUUUGUGAGCACAUAGUAAGCCUACAAAAAUCUGGUUUUUGAUCUACAUUCUCAUAAAAUUUUGCAUAGUUUUUCAACUCGCACUCAUGAGAAUUACCUGCAUAGACUUUUGCAAUGGUGUCUGCCAUUCUGAUUUUUGCUCUGCAAUUUGUGAGACCGACCCAUUCAGUAAAAUACCAAAGAAAGACUGUUGGCAAGGUGGAGACCCUUCUUAUCUUUGGCCCUCAACUUUGAAUUUGCCUGGAUGCUGGUAUACUACCUUUAAGGUCUUUAAGAUUAAGAAUCUACCAUUAAUUGUUUGGUCACCUUAUUCAAUCUCAGUUGCUUCAUUGACACCUAACCUUGUCUCCAGAUAAUGGUCCCCAAAUACUUCCAAUUUUAAACCACCUCUUAAUAAUGACUAGUAUCAAGAUGAGUUUUUAAAAAGCUCAUCAAAUAGAAAACUGAAAUACAUUAUUUUAUAAUGAAAUAAUAUAAGCAAAUGAUGUUAUAUGAUGUGCAUGUACCUUUACUUAAUUUGCCCAAAUAUCUUCACCAUAUUAGUCGAUCCCAUCUAAAACAGAACAGCUUGUGCAUGCAUGGAACUCAAACAAAAUAAUGCUUAUCCCAAGUUUUUAGGGCCAAUGUUGUUAUUUUCUUUAGUGGAAGUGACUUUGUAUAUGUCUUUUGGGGCAUCUAUAACCACAAUAUAUGCAAGGAGCUUUUACUGUCUUGAUCUUAUUGAUGUAAUGGAUCUCAAUAGAUGUAAUAUCUGUGGGAAUGAUGUCUGAUACAAGAAAUGAAUGUGAAACUUGUGGGCUGGUUGUGGUGUUGCUGGUUUUCAAUUUUAGGGAAAUGGAAGGGUAAUGUUUGAAGAUUAUUGUAGACUAAGUACAUUUAUCCAAUGCCAAGUAAAAACAAGGUAAUAUGUAUCAGUAAUAUGUUAUUCUCACUUCCUUGCUGUCUGCUGUUGUUGUUUUUUUCCCUUGGUCAGACAUUAUCAAAUGUUAAGAACAAAUGUUAAGAACAAAUAUGGGUAGUUCAAUAUCCUCCCAAAAAAAAAAAAUUUCAUGUCAAAUGUGGAUAUAUAUGUAGAUAUGUGUAUAUUAUAUUCCUCUAACCCAUUCCAAAAACAAAAGCCUAGAGCAUACAAUGCAUUUGUCAGAAGUAAACUACUAAACUUUUUGAUGUUGCAUUAAUGUCCACUUUUAAUCUAUGGCAUUUGCAAUUUGUUGUGUUGCACUAACUUUGGUUUAAUUCUUCUGCUUAUUUGCUGUCAGUGCUACAAUGGCUAUCUAUGACGUGGUGCAACUUGUUAGAGCUGAUGUUUCUACAGUUGCACUUGGUAUCUCAGCAUCAACAGCUUCCAUAAUCCUUGGUGGUGGCACAAAAGGAAAACGCUUUGCAAUGCCAAAUGCAAGAAUCAUGAUUCAUCAGCCUCUUGGAGGUGCUAGUGGGCAAGCAAUAGAUGUGGAGAUUCAAGCACGAGAAAUUAUGCAUAACAAGAAUAAUGUCAUCAGAAUUAUUUCAGGUUUCACUGGUCGCACAACUGAACAAGUUCAAAAGGACAUUGAUAGAGAUCGCUACAUGUCUCCAAUAGAAGCUGUUGAAUACGGAAUUAUUGAUGGGGUUAUUGACAGAGAUAGCAUCAUUCCUUUGGCUCCUGUUCCAGAAAGGGUAAAACCAACACUCAAUUAUGAGGAAAUGCGAAAAGAUCCAAUGAAAUUCUUGACGCCAGAUAUCCCUGACGAUGAGAUAUACUAGCUUGUGCUAUUUGCUACGAGGUACCUCACUGUUCCUUUUAAAAAUUCAAUAACUUGGGGGGUCCUUUAUUCUUCCCAAACCAGGAUCCUUUGGAAGGUUAGAAUAACAUAAAACUGAUUUUCAAACUGAUUUUGCAUUUUACAAGCAAUUACUUGUCUGUUUCUUCUUUAGAUGUUGAAAGGUAUCUGGUGAUAUUUCUGCAGGCUGGCUCUCAAUGUGUUUCGUUGGAAAAGACAACUGGGGUUUGUGAUUAACACCCUACCAAAUGCAUUUGUGUGAUAUUUUGCUGAUAAUGGUUUUCAAGAAACCUACUGGACAGCCCAGCAUCAUAGCAAGAUUGCAAAACUCAAAUGAGGCCUUUUUUUGUUUUUUUUUUAUAAUUAAGAUGUAACAUUCACUGUAGACUUUUGAAAUUAUUGCAAACUUACCAUUGAAUUGAUCUUGGAAGAAAAUGUGGGAUUUUGAUUUAUAAUUGACCAAAAUUUAUAACUUUUAUUUAAAUAGAAUAAUAAAUAUAUUAUUAAAAGUAAAUAGAAAAAAAAAAAAAAGCAAUAUAAAGUAAAAAUUUUAUAGAGGGAAGAGAGAAGAGGUAUUUAAAAAUAGUUAGAAACUCAUAAUACUAAAAUAAUUAAUUUUUAAUUAAUUUUUUCAGUGUUGAGAGCAAAAACUUUAUAAUAUAUUUUUGAAAACUUUGUUAAAAAAAAAAAUUAAAAAUAAUAAUAUUGGCUCCUCUUCUCCAAAUCCCUGUGAAAUGUGCACUGUUGAUUAUGUCAUCAACAAAAAGUUACAAUUUGUUUUAUAAAAUAAUAAUAAUAAUAAUAAUAUUGCCGGCUUUCUCUCUAUGAAUAAUAAUUAAUUUAAGUAAAUAUUCCAUCGAAUUAUGCUUCUCAAUCGCUUCUUUUUGUUGUAAUUCAACCUUCUAACCACUAAAGUCAUGAUUUCGGCUGCCGACAAAUCGCUGGUCAAACCCUAUUUUUUACUAAUUUAUUUAUUUUCAUAAAUUAAAUAUUCGUACACUACAAAUUCUCUUUACUUAAUAAAAUAAAAUAAAAUAUAUCAUAGUAAAAUUUAUAUAAAUAAUAAUUUUUAUUUAUCUUUCUUUAUUAUCCUAAAAUUAUUAUUCAUAUUCUUUUCUUAUAUUAUAAUAAUAUAUAAAUCAACUAUUAUAAUUUCAUUUAAUUUUAUAUUAUUUUUAAUAAAUCUCUCAAAAUUUUUUUUAAUAUAUAAUAAAAUUUAAUAUUUUUAAGAGUAAUAUAAUUAAAAAAUAAAAUAAACAAAUUAUAGAACGAAAGGAAGUAUGGAUUCAAAUUCAAUUUGGUGGUAUUAGUUAAUAAUAUAUUAAUUAGGGUUAAAUUUUAAUUAUAUAAAUAAUAUAUAAAACAUAAUAAAAUUCAGCAGAUUAGAUGUAUAAAUUUGGAUAAUUAGAGAGUUUUCAGUCAAGGGCCUCGUUCGCGAAUCAAUAGAGAUUAAAAUUAAAAUCAAAUCAAACUGAUCUUAAAGAUAAAUUAAAUUUAAUCAAAUCGAUCUAAUUUAAUUUAAUUUAAUUCAAUUUUAUCAUUAAAUUUUUAAUAAUUUUUUUUAUUUUUUAUACCUCAUUUUAAUAUUUUAACUUUAAUUAUUAUAUAAUCUCUUUAUAUUAUAAGAAAUACUAUAUUAUUAUUACUAAUCGGUUUUACUUAAUUUUUUUAAUUUUUUUUUUAUCAAAAUCAAAUCAAAUCAAAAUAAUUGAACUAAAAAAUGAAUUGAAUUGAGUUAAAAUAAAUAAAAAAUUAAAUUGAAUUUUUAAAUUAAUUUAAGUCAGUAAUUUUUUUUAAUUUAAAACAAAUACUAUUUUAUUUUUUUUUGUUGAUGGAGUAAAUAAAAGGGUGAAGUGCCAAAUGCCCUCUCUAGUUUCUCUCCUUUUCACAUAAUGGAGCAUUCCACUAGAGACAAUAAGUUUCAAAUAAGUUUAGUCUUGGUUGGGAAUUGAGAUUUUGAGUCAAAAUUACUAAAAUUAUUUUUAAAAAUUGUAUUUAGGUUUUUAUUAUGUUUCUGCUUAGAAGCAGUCUCAAGUAAAUGGACAACUUUGACUCUAUCAUGGAGAUUCACUUAAUAUAUAAACAUGAAUGUGAAUAAUUUAAAAAAAAAAAAAGUAUACUCUACAUUCAUAACCAUUUUAACUUGGUUAUUUUUAUGUUUUUAUUUUUUAUUUUUUAUUCUCCUUUUAAAAUUAAAAAUUUUAUAAAAAUUUAAAAAAUUUAAUUUAAGGGGGUAAUGAAAAAAAAUUCAAAAAAAAUUAAAAUAGAAAUUUAAAUUAUAAUAAGAUUAAUUUAACAUAUUAUAAUACUGUUAUUAUUAAUAAUAAAAAUAUAUAAAAUUAUAAGAAUAUAAAUCAUAGGCUACCGUACGACGCUGGUGUAUAUGAGUAAGACAGAUGGUUGUUUAGGUACACCACAUUCAUACGCAAGACGUUCCCCUAAACAUGAAAGCGCCAUCUCAACGACACUCAUUUUUCCCUUUUUUUAAUUAAGUAAUUAGGAAGUAAUUAAUUAUUUAAUUAUAAUAUUAAUUUUUUAGAAAAAAAUCUCAACCGUUAAAGUCAUAAUAAAAGAAGAAGACAAGUAGAUAAUACAUUGGAAUCUUAAGCCCAACUUCCCAUUGAUACCAUAGAUUAAUAUUAUUAAGAGUUUUUUUUUUAAUAUUUAAAAAUUUCUAGAACAUUUGUUUUAUAUUUAUUUUUUAAAAUUUUUACUUAGUGACAUAGCUGGAAAAUAGAAUUUCACACUAAUUUACUAGAAUUCUAGAAUUUUUAUUUUUGAAAUAGAGAUUGAAAAUUGGAUAAUAAAAUUUGAGAUCUCUCAAAUUUAUUUAAUUUUUAUAUUUUUAAAAUCAAACACUUAAAUCACUAUGUAUUCUAUCCGUCUAAAUUAAAAGUUUUUAUUUAUAAUUUCGUUACUCAAUGAAUUAAAAAAAGAAUAAUUAUUUUAAAUAUCUAAAAUAUUAUUAUAAAUAUUUAAAUUCGUGAAUAAUUUUAUAUUGUAUAAAUCGGUCCUUAUAUUUUUAAAAUUAAAUCUUUAAAUCCUUUUAAAAUUACAGUGGAUGAUCAAAUUUCUUCCGAAAAUAUAAUAUUUUUUUAAAAUACUCUAUAAAAAUUUAUAAUCUAUUUAAAAAUUAUUUUGUACCACUUAAAAAUAGUUGAUAUUAUAAGUAUUUUUUGAAAAUUUUGAAAUUGUAAAUAUUGAAGUAUUUUAAUAAAUAAAAAUUAAAGAAUUUUAACAAAGUUAAAGAUAUUAUAGAUAAAAGUUAAUAGAGAUUUAAGUAUUAUUUUAAAUAAAAAAUUAAGAUCAAAAUAUUUAAAUUAUAAUAGAUGAGAACGAAUUGAUUAUAAAGAAAUUUAGGUGUACGCAUUUGAAAAUAUCGGAAUUAAUUUAUUAAUUAUGCUAAAACUCAAAGUAUUCAAAUAUAGUUUAUCCAUUUAAAGAAAGGUAAUAAAGAAUUUCUACAAUUUUAGUAUAAAAAUAGAUGAAAAAUCUCUAAUUUAGACCAAUUGAUUAUAAAAAAAUUUAAAUAUUUGGUUGCAAUGUUAAAAUUUAAAAAUUAAAAUAUAAUUUACCUUAUAUUUUAUAUUUACCCUAUAUAAUAAAUAUUUAUAACAAAUGAAUUUAUAUUUUAUAAAAUAUCAAAAACUUUAUUUCUUAUUAAUAAUAUUAAAUAAAAUAAAAUACCAUAUGAUUUAAUUAUAAAAUUUUAUUUUGUUUCAUAUCUUAAAUAUAAAAGUGGUAAUAGGUAAAUAAUAAAAUUAAUAAAAAAAUAUAUAUUAUUGAAAUAAAAAUAUUUAUAUUAAUUACUAUUUUAUUAGUUAAAUAAAAUUUUAAAAAUUAUAUUAUAACUUAAUAUUAAUUUAUUCUUAUCAUCGUAAAUUCAAAAGUUUGAUUUUAUUUUUAAAAAUUUAAAAAUUUAAUAUAAAUAUAAAAAUUAAUUUAAAUAUAUUAUUUUCUAAAAAAUUAUUCAAAAUAAAAAAAAAUACUAACUAAACAUAAAUAAUUUUCAAAAGCCAGUUACUGCAAUUAUCACACAAAUUUUAUUUUAUUUUUUCUCCAUGGAUGGCAGUUUGAUUUCAUGUUAUAAUUUUUCCAGGUCUAGUCUCCGAGGUCAAACUAAUGAGAGCUGUAUAUAUAUUGAACCAUUAGCUGACUGGGGCUAGAGAGAUUGUCUUUAUUCAUAAAUUUCAUCAAUGGGAAAUUUCUUUGAAGAAAAAGAAUCUCUGUAACACGUCAAAGAUUGUAGCACCAAGUGGUUAUAGUUGUUGAUAAUUAAAUCUUUGAUUCAUUUGUAUACACAAGUGAUUCUGACAAAAAGGCGAUUCAAAGAUGAUCAUGAUGAUGAUGAUGAUUCAUUUGUAAAGCUUCAACAGAAGAGGAGUGACGAUUUUGAAGGAGAAGGGAUGGGAGAGGGAAAAGGGUUUGCAUCAGAAAUGUAUAGAAACACAAGUGAAGAGUUGUUUCUGAAAUCUUUGAUGGAUAGCUCAGUGCCAACCAUGGAGAUGUUGGGUUUUAAGAAUAUUUCUUCUUCUCAUCCUCACAACUUUCGCACGGAUAGUGAAGAGCUCUUCAAAAGCUGGCUUACUAAUGGAGAGGCAAGCCAAAACCGAUAAUCUUCUUCUUCUUCUUCUUCUUUUUAAAAUUUAAUUUCAGACCUAAUCCAGUGUUGUUCUUCAACAACCUAGUCAUCCAUACACCUUUUUUUCAAUGUUUUAUUCUAUGGGUUUUGGAGGAGAGGGGGAAAAAAGAAUUGGAUUCUUUGGAUUAACACUAUGAUGGAACCAAGAACAUUGUGGUUUGUUUAGGAAAAUGAGUUUGUUAUUUGUCUAAUUCUUGUAUUAUUUGAUGUGUUUUGUAUGCACUAAACUCAAAAAAUUCUUUAGUUUUGUAUUUUUUUUUUCUUCACCUGAAGGUGUACUAGUUGUGCUAAUCACAGUUCAACAAAUGGUUUUUGUUAUUGGAAGGAUAUGAGUCACAAAUAUUUAGAAAUCAUACUUUUUCAAAAAAAAGGAAAAAAAGGAAAACAAGUGUUAUUCAGAAAACUAUGAUUUUCCCUUGAUGAAUGAAAUACAAGCUAUAGUCCAAUAUAAAUUGUUAUUUUUGCAGCAUUUGCAGUAUAGAAAUAAAAUUGCCCUUAUUCUCAUAUACUCCUUUCUUUCUUUUCUUUGGAAAUUUUUUUUUCCCCAACUGAUGGGUUCAUAUUUCAGAAUCAUGGCUAUAAUUCCUCAAGCAUAGCACAUCGAACCCGGCAAGCAUCCAGGAGGUGAGUAGAUUGAACUGAUAAAUCCUGACAUAGAACAACUCAUUGAUAUUGUGCUACUUGAGAUUUGUUUGGUAUUAGAUAUAGGAUGAUCGAUCUUAUUUGGAAUCAUUUUCUGUGUUAAAUCAUAUGCUAACACUGAGACUAGCAUGUUGUGGGAGUCAAGGGUGAAUAAUCAAUUAGAUUAGUUAAAAUAUCUUCAUUAUUCAUCAGAAUUCUCCUGAUAAUAUUGCAGAAAAUUAAAUAACUGUAUUACAAUUGCAGGAUAUCUACUGAACUAGCCACUUUGACAAGCCAGCAGCCUGGAAGUUCACUGCAAAAGAAAAGAAGCAAUGAUGUAUUAUUUACUCAAAAUAACACAAUCCCUGAUGGAACCUCUAGUGACCUCAACAUCAGGUGGCUACUUCAUCUUUCUGCUGUCUUCUAUUACAUAUGACUAAUUCUCAGUUGAAACUUAUUCUGAUUUAUCUUUUUUACUUUUUUGGUUGCAAUUGUCAUAGGAAUGCUGUCGAAAGAAGUAUGCAGGCUAGUAAUUUAUAUCUGGCCAAGGUUAGUUUUAGUUUGUCUGCAGAAUCUUCGUUAUAUCUGAUAUCUGAAUAUCUUAUCCUCUCUUUAAUGGCAGGCCUGGUUUCAUAGUUCUCAACCGAUGACAAGAAGUCGAUCCUCUGAACUGCGGUAUCAGCAUUGUAAUACACAAGCCCAUUACAAGUAUAUCCAAUGCAAACUUUGGUUAAUUAUCUAUUUGUUUUUGCAGGAAGAGGUAUGCCGCUAUGCAAAGUGCUCAGACAAGUUUAGGGAAUGGUGUAAACGAUUUGAAACAAGAGUUUGCAGAUCCAAAUGGUUUUAUUGAGCUUCCUAUGCAUGACAUUGGCAAUCAAUUGGGUUCAUUCAUGUCUCCAUCCAAUUCAUCUUCAUCUACUUUCAACACCCCACAAAUGGGAGAUGCAGAUAAAGUUUCUUCUGUUGUGAACAUGCUUAAGGGUACGCUGGAACGCAAGAAGCUCAGCAAUCAGAAGAUUGAGAAAGAAGCUGUUGAAGAUAGUUCUAAUGCAAUUUAUCAUGAUCAGCAAGUUAUUAUGAACUCUCCUUUUGAUCAAGUAAAUGGUAACAGCAUUUAUGAAAUUCCACAAACUUUCCAAGAAAUUUCAUCUGACCAAGUCAAGGACGCUGGAGGGUUUCAAACAGUUCAGGGACCCAUAGAUCUUGACCUGGAAGGUUUUGUACAUCCUACAAAUGCAAUUCAGUUGUGCACAGUUUCUAGAGAACCUUCUCAAAGUGAAUCUUCUGCUGCUGCACCAGUAUUUUCCUCUGGUUUUGAUGCAUGUGAUGGUCCCAGCAAUUCCAGCCAAACUCUAAGCAUUUGUGAGAGCUCAAGGAAACAAGUAGGAAACAAUACAAGUCCAGAGAAUGGACCUAAAGCCAAAGGUAAAUGCUUCAUAUGGGGAUGGAUGUAUCUAAUCAACUUAACUAUCCAUUAGGGAAAAUUAUUAUUUGGUUCCUGUAUUACAAGGAAAACUUACUAGUUAGUCUCUCAGUUUUGAUAUAUUAAUAUAUUCUUAAGGUUUUAAAAAGUUUAUUAUUAGUUAGUCCGUUAAUUUAAACCGUUAAAUAUUAUAAAAAAAUUUAAAAUAUCCUCAAUAUGGAGAGACUAAUUAAUCGACUUUUUACAAAAUUAAGGAAUUAACUAAUAAGUUUUUUCAAAUUACAGAGAUUAAAUAGUAAAAUAUUUAACAAUUAAAAUUAACAGAAAGACUAAUUAGUAGAUUUUUAAAAUCUCUAAUGUAUUUUUUAAAAUUGAGAGAUCAACUAAUGAGUUUUUCAUAAUAUAGGAACUAAAUAGUAAAUUUUCUUUAUUUUAUUUUAAUUUAUCAUAACAACCUGAAGCCAUGGAUCUUGCUUCUUUAUUCUUUUUUAUUCUCUUUUUUUUUUUUCUUUGGAUCUAUCAGGUUCUGAAUAUGAAUCAUAAGCAGAUAAAAUAUAACCUCCAAGCCUUGACCAGAAAUGAUUAUCCGCAUAUACAUGAAGUUCAUAGAAUAGGAUUGAUGACAACUCUUUUGGGCAUCUGAAAGAUAGUUGUUGUUUUGUCUUCUUUAUCGUUUUGAUUUGGCAUUUGAGUGUUAUGUGAUUCAAGCAUCUUACAUUUGAAAUGCAGAUUUUCGAGAACGGAUAAUUGAAAACUUGAAGGAUGACAGAAAGGUAUUCCACUUUCUCAGAUGGUGAAUCAAGAAUUUUUAAUAAAUCUUGAAUAGUUUGCUGAUUUCCUGUUAUUUUGUUUACUGUUUACUUGUAAUCUGUCUUAAGAGGGGAGGGCUAGUUCGAUAUGGAUCUGUGACAUCAGGAGGUUCAGGUAAUCUAUAUAUCUUUAGAACUUUAACAGCAUGAUAUUUUUCUAUCCACAUUAGCUGUUAAUGAGUUCAAUCUUAAACCCUGUCAUUCUAUAUGAACAUGGAAAACAGUGGCCUACUGAUUUGUGCUCGAGUUCAAAUUGCUAUGCAUGUUCAAACACAAGCCAAAUAUGACUCAUUAUUAGAGGUGUAUCUUUAUUUUGGGUGUCUGAAAACUCUUAUUUUGAAUUUUUUUUUUUUUUAAUCUUUUGCUUGUUAACUUAUUAUUCUUUCCAUACAGAAUGUUUAUUACAGUAACCAAGUACUGUAUAAAAAUUACCAAUUGUGCAGAUGAAGUUACUGUUAGUUCUUACUUCUUAGUUGUUACAAAAUCAUAUGAUCCUUUUUGACCAAUCGAAGUUAUGCAGUGGACAAGAGUGACACAACUAAAAAGCGUAGGGUGGAGCGCUCACGAAAGUAAGCUAAACUGCAUCCUUUUGUUUUGCAAGUUCAUUAUUUUAGAAUAAUUUUCAUGUUCUCUGCUUCUGUAAUCGUUUGGAUACAAGAAUCUUGGUACUUAGGAUUUCAAGAAUUUUAUGUAGAAGACAUAAUCAGGUUAAGGACAGUUAACAAAACAGAAUAAAGAUACUCCAAUCCCUGGAAAGUGUUGUAUGUAGGCCAUUAAGAGGAAUCCAAUCUAAACUAUACCAAAUCAGGUUAGUAGAACUUAUGCAAGCCAAUAAGGCGAUUAGCAUUCAAGUCAAAUGGGAGCAGAACCAUCUACUAAGAUACAAUUAGCCAGUUAAUUAUCAGAACACCAGAAACUAGAUGCCUGAAAGCCGUACUAGGAUGCAUCGUGGAUCCAGACUGAGGAACCUUCUGCCUGGAGAUUCUGGAGGCAUGCAGCUUUACUUCCAGUGCGAAAAUAUUACAUGGUAGAAUCAGACUCGGUAAAAUUUUGAGUGGGUAGUAAGCUUUUCCCCUUUUAGGAGUGCCUUUAAUUUGUUUCUCGCCGGUUACCCUUAUAGGUGAGCAUGAAGUUGUAUAUAAUUAUAUGGUUAAACCGGAUUCAUGUUAUUCUAUUCAUUGGAAGUGGGAAGGAGAUGUUGCGAUUUAAACCCUUAUACGGGUUCUUAAUCAUUGUGCUAUUAUUCCAAUAUGGCUAAAAACAAAUUUGAGUUGAACAUUGUAAAAGGAAAUGUUUCUUUGAGAAAGCUUUUCUCUUAAGCUAAAUAUCUUGGUGAUGCAGAAUGGCAGAGGCAAAGGAAAGGAAUUUAAUACCAGCAAUUCCAACUGAUAUGCAAUCUGUCUUGAAGCGCUGCGAAAAUCUUGAGAAGGAAGUUCGAUCGCUAAAGCUUAACUUGUCUUUCAUGAAUAGGUAAUGACUUAAACCAAAGAUUAACUGUGCACUUGCACCCUAAACUCUUAAAAAACAAAAAGAACUUGAAAAUUUUGCAGAGUUUGCAAUUAAUUUAUGAAUUUCAGGAAGGAUUCUGAACAGACAAAGCAGAUAGAAGAGCUUCAGAAAAAGAAUGAAGAGUUGGCUGAUGAGAAGGAAAGGCUACUUGAAGAGAUUGAAAGAAUCCUUUCAGAAACAGGGAAAAUGUGAAACUUGUUCAUCAUUCAACUAAAUCUUCCACCUCAUAUAUUGACAAAAAAAAAANNNNNNNAAAAAAAAAAAAAAAAAAAAAAAAAAAUCUACCACCUCAUACACUCUGUGAAGUAAACAAGAAACUCUCAGGCACAGAUCUUCAGAAAUUAUCAGUGGUCUUCAUGUUUAGGAAUCAAGAACAAGAUGAACUUAAAGACUGGCCUUCAUAUAUUCCAGUGCAGGUGGAGUGGGGGUGACUUGUUUGCUGAUCCAAUGUGUAUGGAUUUUUAUUUUUAUUUUUUUCAAAUUCUGGAUGGGAUAACAAAUUUACAUAUGAACAAGGAGUGUAAAUUUCAAAUUUGGAAGCUAUACUGUUGCCAUUGCUG
RNAcentral lists this long non-coding RNA (30464 nucleotides) under Manihot esculenta (cassava). RNAcentral describes it as "long non-coding RNA (MESC_LNC010019)". Lineage: Eukaryota; Viridiplantae; Streptophyta; Magnoliopsida; Malpighiales; Euphorbiaceae. The record is from RNAcentral.